AUGGGAACGCGAAGAACCUUACCUAGACUUGACAUCUUCUGCAUUAAUCGUAAUGGAUGAAAUCCCUUCGGGGACAGAAUGACAGGUGGUGCAUGGUUGUCGUCAGCUCGUGUCGUGAGAUGUUGGGUUAAGUCCCGCAACGAGCGCAACCCCUAUUAUUAGUUGCUAACAUUAAGUUGAGCACUCUAGUGAGACUGCCCGGGUUAACCGGGAGGAAGGUGGGGAGUGACGUCAAAUCAUCAUGCCCCUUACUGUCUAGGGCUACACACGUGCUACAAUGGUGGGAACAAAGAGAUGCAAUACCGCAAGGUGGAGCUAAACUCAAAACCCCAUCCCAGUUCGGAUUGUAGGCUGAAACUCGCCUACAUGAAGCUGGAGUUGCUAGUAAUCGCGAAUCAGAAUGUCGCGGUGAAUACGUUCCCGGGUCUUGUACACACCG
RNAcentral lists this ribosomal RNA (439 nucleotides) under uncultured bacterium. RNAcentral describes it as "bacterial SSU rRNA". It matches the Rfam family "Bacterial small subunit ribosomal RNA", at positions 954 to 1392 of the family's 1533-position model. The record is from RNAcentral.